This is a long non-coding RNA of Morone saxatilis (striped sea-bass), 201 nucleotides long. RefSeq lists it as uncharacterized. The record is from RefSeq and is a predicted model, not a curated record. NCBI's taxonomy places the organism in Eukaryota, Metazoa, Chordata, Actinopteri, Moronidae. The transcript is spliced from 3 exons.
UGAUCAGUGCUGAGGAUAUACAGUGAAGUGCAGAAUCUCUCUGCAGAAGGAGAGCAAGUGAGUGGUGAUGAAUCGGGUCCCAGCUGGCAGAAAGGGAGGCUGACACACACCACCAAAACACAACAGACAGCCAGGCCACCGAGGAGAGGUGUUGUCCGGUCACAUGAAGCUACUGUGCGGAUUUUAUUGCAUUUUAUUCAG